This 253-nucleotide unclassified non-coding RNA is filed under the name uncultured Verrucomicrobiota bacterium. RNAcentral describes it as "uncultured Verrucomicrobia bacterium contains 16S-23S intergenic spacer region". It matches the Rfam family "Bacterial small subunit ribosomal RNA", at positions 524 to 776 of the family's 1533-position model. Lineage: Bacteria; Pseudomonadati; Verrucomicrobiota. The record is from RNAcentral.
UACAGAGACUGCAAGCGUUAUUCGGAUUCACUGGGCGUAGAGGGUGCGCAGGCGGUUGCGUGUGUCAGGUGUGAAAUCUCGGAGCUUAACUCCGAAACUGCGCCUGAAACUACGUGACUAGAGCAUUGGAGAGGGUAGCGGAAUUCACGGUGUAGCAGUGAAAUGCGUAGAUAUCGUGAGCAACACCAGAGGCGAAGGCGGCUACCUGGACAAUUGCUGACGCUCAGGCACGAAAGCGUGGGGAGCAAAAGGG